Molecule: ribosomal RNA, 207 nt
Filed under: uncultured bacterium
Lineage: Bacteria
Description: partial 16S ribosomal RNA
Rfam family: Bacterial small subunit ribosomal RNA
Source: RNAcentral
CGUGUAGGCGGUGAAAUAAGUCGGAUGUGAAAUCCCACGGCUUAACCGUGGAAGUGCAUUCGAAACUGUUUCGCUAGAGUACGAGAGGGGAAGGUGGAAUUCCCAGUGUAGAGGUGAAAUUCGUAGAUAUUGGGAGGAACACCGGUGGCGAAGGCGGCCUUCUGGCUCGAUACUGACGCUGAGACGCGAAAGCGUGGGGAGCAAACA